AGACCCGAAACCCGGUGAUCUAGCCAUGGGCAGGUUGAAGGUUGGGUAACACUAACUGGAGGACCGAACCGACUAAUGUUGAAAAAUUAGCGGAUGACCUGUGGCUGGGGGUGAAAGGCCAAUCAAACCGGGAGAUAGCUGGUUCUCCCCGAAAGCUAUUUAGGUAGCGCCUCGUGAAUUCAUCUCCGGGGGUAGAGCACUGUUUCGGCUAGGGGGCCAUCCCGGCUUACCAACCCGAUGCAAACUGCGAAUACCGGAGAAUGUUAUCACGGGAGACACACGGCGGGUGCUAACGUCCGUCGUGAAGAGGGAAACAACCCAGACCGCCAGCUAAGGUCCCAAAGUCAUGGUUAAGUGGGAAACGAUGUGGGAAGGCCCAGACAGCCAGGAUGUUGGCUUAGAAGCAGCCAUCAUUUAAAGAAAGCGUAAUAGCUCACUGGUCGAGUCGGCCUGCGCGGAAGAUGUAACGGGGCUAAACCAUGCACCGAAGCUGCGGCAGCGAACGUAUCACUUAAAGCGAUUCAGCGGGUUACGAUUGACGGAGCGAAGCGACGUCAAAGCGUAUACAAAGUCGAGUCGGUUUAAGGAUACGUUCGUUGGGUAGGGGAGCGUUCUGUAAGCCUGUGAAGGUGUGUCGUGAGGCAUGCUGGAGGUAUCAGAAGUGCGAAUGCUGACAUAAGUAACGAUAAAGCGGGUGAAAAGCCCGCUCGCCGGAAGACCAAGGGUUCCUGUCCAACGUUAAUCGGGGCAGGGUGAGUCGACCCCUAAGGCGAGGCCGAAAGGCGUAGUCGAUGGGAAACGGGUUAAUAUUCCCGUACUUGGUGUUACUGCGAAGGGGGGACGGAGAAGGCUAUGUUGGCCGGGCGACGGUUGUCCCGGUUUAAGCGUGUAGGUGUGUGUUCCAGGUAAAUCCGGUUCACUUUAACACUGAGGCGUGAUGACGAGGCACUACGGUGCUGAAGCAACAAAUGCCCUGCUUCCAGGAAAAGCCUCUAAGCAUCAGGUAACAUCAAAUCGUACCCCAAACCGACACAGGUGGUCAGGUAGAGAAUACCAAGGCGCUUGAGAGAACUCGGGUGAAGGAACUAGGCAAAAUGGUGCCGUAACUUCGGGAGAAGGCACGCUGACAUGUAGGUGAAGUGAUUUACUCAUGGAGCUGAAGUCAGUCGAAGAUACCAGCUGGCUGCAACUGUUUAUUAAAAACACAGCACUGUGCAAACACGAAAGUGGACGUAUACGGUGUGACGCCUGCCCGGUGCCGGAAGGUUAAUUGAUGGGGUCAGCGCAAGCGAAGCUCCUGAUCGAAGCCCCGGUAAACGGCGGCCGUAACUAUAACGGUCCUAAGGUAGCGAAAUUCCUUGUCGGGUAAGUUCCGACCUGCACGAAUGGCGUAAUGAUGGCCAGGCUGUCUCCACCCGAGACUCAGUGAAAUUGAACUCGCUGUGAAGAUGCAGUGUACCCGCGGCAAGACGGAAAGACCCCGUGAACCUUUACUAUAGCUUGACACUGAACAUUGAGCCUUGAUGUGUAGGAUAGGUG
RNAcentral lists this ribosomal RNA (1539 nucleotides) under Salmonella enterica subsp. enterica serovar Infantis. RNAcentral's name for it is "partial 23S ribosomal RNA". It matches the Rfam family "Bacterial large subunit ribosomal RNA", at positions 711 to 2149 of the family's 2925-position model. The record is from RNAcentral. Lineage: Bacteria; Pseudomonadati; Pseudomonadota; Gammaproteobacteria; Enterobacterales; Enterobacteriaceae.